AUUGAACGCUGGCGGCAGGCCUAACACAUGCAAGUCGAACGAGUGGCGGACGGGUGAGUAAUGUCUGGGAAACUGCCUGAUGGAGGGGGAUAACUACUGGAAACGGUAGCUAAUACCGCAUACAAUCGAAGGGGCCCGGAUGGGAUUAGCUAGUUGGUGGGGUAACGGCUCACCAAGGGGACGAUCCCUAGCUGGUCUGAGAGGAUGACCAGCCACACUGGAACUGAGACACGGUCCAGACUCCUACGGGAGGCAGCAGUGGGGAAUAUUGCACAAUGGGCGCAAGCCUGAUACAGCCAUGCCGCGUGUAUGAAGAAGGCCUUCGGGUUGUAAAGUACUUUCAGCGGGGAGGCGUUACCCGCAGAAGAAGCACCGGCUAACUCCGUGCCAGCCGCCGCGGUAAUUC
This 406-nucleotide ribosomal RNA is filed under the name uncultured bacterium. Its description in RNAcentral is "partial 16S ribosomal RNA". It matches the Rfam family "Bacterial small subunit ribosomal RNA", at positions 30 to 526 of the family's 1533-position model. The record is from RNAcentral.